RNAcentral lists this ribosomal RNA (496 nucleotides) under uncultured bacterium. Its description in RNAcentral is "partial 16S ribosomal RNA". It matches the Rfam family "Bacterial small subunit ribosomal RNA", at positions 29 to 507 of the family's 1533-position model. The record is from RNAcentral.
AUGAACGCUGGCGGCGUGCCUAAUACAUGCAAGUCGAGCGAACAGACGAGGAGCUUGCUCCUCUGACGUUAGCGGCGGACGGGUGAGUAACACGUGGAUAACCUACCUAUAAGACUGGGAUAACUUCGGGAAACCGGAGCUAAUACCGGAUAAUAUAUUGAACCGCAUGGUUCAAUAGUGAAAGACGGUUUUGCUGUCACUUAUAGAUGGAUCCGCGCCGCAUUAGCUAGUUGGUAAGGUAACGGCUUACCAAGGCAACGAUGCGUAGCCGACCUGAGAGGGUGAUCGGCCACACUGGAACUGAGACACGGUCCAGACUCCUACGGGAGGCAGCAGCAGGGAAUCUUCCGCAAAGGGCGAAAGCCUGACGGAGCAACGCCGCGUGAGUGAUGAAGGUCUUCGGAUCGUAAAACUCUGUUAUUAGGGAAGAACAAAUGUGUAAGUAACUAUGCACGUCUUGACGGUACCUAAUCAGAAAGCCACGGCUAACUACGUG